Molecule: long non-coding RNA, 504 nt
Filed under: Lathyrus oleraceus (garden pea)
Lineage: Eukaryota; Viridiplantae; Streptophyta; Magnoliopsida; Fabales; Fabaceae
Description: Pisum sativum (pea) long non-coding RNA (PSAT_LNC030659)
Source: RNAcentral
CAAUUUUUAAUCAGAAAAAAGUGGAAUACAAGCACAACCAUAUCUUAAAAGGAUUACAACCAUAAAACUUUCUUUCAAAAUUCUCAUAAUUUCAUGUGGUCGUCAAUAAUGAGUAAAUGUCACACCAACAUCUAUCUUAUCUUCUUCUUAAACAAUAAUGGUUCUUGGUCACAAAAGAAUAAUUAGAGUCAGACAUCGUGGAAUCCAAACAAUAGAAAGAAGAUACAAAACAAAUGGAAUACGAACAAUAGGAAGAAGAUACACAUUGAUGAAAGAAUGAACCAAACAAGAUUUAAGAUCAAUUUGGUUGAAAGUUUUUGGAGGGGAGAGGAGAGGAAAGAAUAUUUUAAAUGAUAGGUGUUUCGUUCAGUAUUUAAGGAGGGAAUCAAAAUCCUUUGUAGAGUGAUUUUUCGUUCCUCGAAUUCGAGUUUUCUUGAGGAGAGGAGAAGGGAGGGGAGAAAUGCUAAAAUAUAACUUAUUAUAUUGAUGAAAUUAACAUUGAUG